This 652-nucleotide ribosomal RNA is filed under the name Bacillus sp. HPC681. RNAcentral describes it as "bacterial SSU rRNA". It matches the Rfam family "Bacterial small subunit ribosomal RNA", at positions 33 to 669 of the family's 1533-position model. The record is from RNAcentral. Lineage: Bacteria; Bacillati; Bacillota; Bacilli; Caryophanales; Bacillaceae.
CUGAGAGGCGUUGCAGUAGUACGUGACAGGCUAACCGUAGGNUUUAACAACUUGCUCUCUAGAAUUUAGCGGCGGACGGGUGAGUAACACGUGGGUAACCUGCCCAUAAGACUGGGAUAACUCCGGGAAACCGGGGCUAAUACCGGAUAAUAUUUUGAACUGCAUGGUUCGAAAUUGAAAGGCGGCUUCGGCUGUCACUUAUGGAUGGACCCGCGUCGCAUUAGCUAGUUGGUGAGGUAACGGCUCACCAAGGCAACGAUGCGUAGCCGACCUGAGAGGGUGAUCGGCCACACUGGGACUGAGACACGGCCCAGACUCCUACGGGAGGCAGCAGUAGGGAAUCUUCCGCAAUGGACGAAAGUCUGACGGAGCAACGCCGCGUGAGUGAUGAAGGCUUUCGGGUCGUAAAACUCUGUUGUUAGGGAAGAACAAGUGCUAGUUGAAUAAGCUGGCACCUUGACGGUACCUAACCAGAAAGCCACGGCUAACUACGUGCCAGCAGCCGCGGUAAUACGUAAGUGGCAAGCGUUAUCCGGAAUUAUUGGGCGUAAAGCGCGCGCAGGUGGUUUCUUAAGUCUGAUGUGAAAGCCCACGCUCACCCGUGGAGGGUCAUUGGAACUGGGAGACUUGAUGCAGAAGAGAAGUGGAUUCC